UUUUUUUUUUUUUUUUUUUUUUUUUGUUGGUUGUAACAAUGGUCAUUUUAAGGUUGGCAACCUGGGAUCCCAGAGUUUGUGUCAAUCUGGGAUGAAGACUGGGACAAGUUUGAAGAUGAAGGAUUUUCAUUUGAUGUUGCUGUCCCUGCAAAUUCCAAGUCAACAUCUGUUCACAAAGAGAAUUCUUCGCCGACUCAUAACUUUUCCCCUGAUUCUGGGUCAAAUGCUGAUGCUACAUCUGAAAAACCCUUCAGUAAAGGUGUAAGUCCUUUCGAGACUGAAUCGCCCUAUGCACAUAGUGAAGAUGAAUCAAAGAGUUCUCAAGGAAGUCCAGCAAGACAAACAACAUUUGAAAGUCCAUCUCCCAAAUACUCAGAAAAUGAUUUCAGGAAGAGCUCCGAUGGAGAAGCUGAAAUUCAUAGAAGCUUUGACGAACCUGCAUGGGGUACUUUUGACAAUAAUGAUGACAUUGAUUCAGUUUGGGGCUUCAGUGCUAAGGUGAGAAGACUUGUGGAGUCCUAGUCCAUCUUAUA
Molecule: long non-coding RNA, 533 nt
Organism: Olea europaea var. sylvestris
Lineage: Eukaryota; Viridiplantae; Streptophyta; Magnoliopsida; Lamiales; Oleaceae
Exons: 3
Source: RefSeq, a predicted model, not a curated record